CUACGGAGGGCGCAAGCGUUAUUCGGAAUCACUGGGCGUAAAGGACGCGUAGGCGGGUUGGCAAGUCAGAUGUGAAAUCCUACAGCUUAACUGUAGAACUGCAUUUGAAACUGCUAACCUAGAGUAUGGGAGGGGGAGAUGGAAUUAGUGGUGUAGGGGUAAAAUCCGUAGAUAUCACUAGGAAUACCGAAAGCGAAGGCGAUCUCCUGGAACAUAACUGACGCUAAGGCGUGAAAGCGUGGGGAGCAAACAGGAUUAGAUACCCUAGUAGUCC
This 274-nucleotide ribosomal RNA is filed under the name uncultured bacterium. RNAcentral's name for it is "partial 16S ribosomal RNA". It matches the Rfam family "Bacterial small subunit ribosomal RNA", at positions 523 to 796 of the family's 1533-position model. The record is from RNAcentral.